Molecule: ribosomal RNA, 301 nt
Filed under: uncultured bacterium
Lineage: Bacteria
Description: partial 16S ribosomal RNA
Rfam family: Bacterial small subunit ribosomal RNA
Source: RNAcentral
CAGCAGCCACGGUAAUGCGUAGGUGGCAAGCGUUGUCCGGAAUUAUUGGGCGUAAAGGGCUCGCAGGCGGUUUCUUAAGUCUGAUGUGAAAGCCCCCGGCUCAACCGGGGAGGGUCAUUGGAAACUGGGAAACUUGAGUGCAAAAGAGGAGAGUGGAAUUCCACGUGUAGCGGUGAAAUGCGUAGAGAUGUGGAGGAACACCAGUGGCGAAGGCGACUCUCUGGUCUGUAACUGACGCUGAGGAGCGAAAGCGUGGGGAGCGAACAGGAUUAGAUACCCCGGUAGUCCCUGUCUCUUAUAC